GAUGAACGCUGGCGGCGUGCCUAAUACAUGCAAGUCGAGCGGACAGAUAAGGAGCUUGCUCCUUUGACGUUAGCGGCGGACGGGUGAGUAACACGUGGAUAACCUACCUAUAAGACUGGGAUAACUUCGGGAAACCGGAGCUAAUACCGGAUAACAUAUUGAACCGCAUGGUUCAAUAGUGAAAGGCGGCUUUGCUGUCACUUAUAGAUGGAUCCGCGCCGUAUUAGCUAGUUGGUAAGGUAACGGCUUACCAAGGCAACGAUACGUAGCCGACCUGAGAGGGUGAUCGGCCACACUGGAACUGAGACACGGUCCAGACUCCUACGGGAGGUAGCAGUAGGGAAUCUUCCGCAAUGGGCGAAAGCCUGACGGAGCAACGCCGCGUGAGUGAUGAAGGUCUUCGGAUCGUAAAACUCUGUUAUCAGGGAAGAACAAAUGUGUAAGUAACUGUGCACAUCUUGACGGUACCUGAUCAGAAAGCCACGGCUAACUACGUG
RNAcentral lists this ribosomal RNA (497 nucleotides) under uncultured bacterium. RNAcentral describes it as "partial 16S ribosomal RNA". It matches the Rfam family "Bacterial small subunit ribosomal RNA", at positions 28 to 507 of the family's 1533-position model. The record is from RNAcentral.